AUUGAACGCUGGCGGCAUGCCUUACACAUGCAAGUCGAACGGUAACGGGCCUUCGGGCGCCGACGAGUGGCGAACGGGUGAGUAAUGCAUCGGAACGUACCUUUCAGUGGGGGAUAACGUAGCGAAAGUUACGCUAAUACCGCAUAUUCUGUGAGCAGGAAAGCAGGGGAUCGCAAGACCUUGCGCUGAUUGAGCGGCCGAUGUCAGAUUAGCUAGUUGGUGAGGUAAAGGCUCACCAAGCCUGCGAUCUGUAGCUGGUCUGAGAGGACGACCAGCCACACUGGGACUGAGACACGGCCCAGACUCCUACGGGAGGCAGCAGUGGGGAAUUUUGGACAAUGGGCGCAAGCCUGAUCCAGCCAUGCCGCGUGCGGGAAGAAGGCCUUCGGGUUGUAAACCGCUUUUGUCAGGGAGAAAGUCCGGGUUAAUACCCUGGGACUGCUGACGGUACCUGAAGAAUAAGCACCGGCUAACUACGUGCCAGCAGCCGAC
This 492-nucleotide ribosomal RNA is filed under the name uncultured bacterium. RNAcentral describes it as "bacterial SSU rRNA". It matches the Rfam family "Bacterial small subunit ribosomal RNA", at positions 30 to 518 of the family's 1533-position model. The record is from RNAcentral.